GGGAGUAUAGCUCAAAUGGGAGAGCGCUGUCUUUGCAUGGCAGAUGUUGAGAGUUCGAGUCUCUCUAUUUCCA
Molecule: transfer RNA, 73 nt
Filed under: Leuconostoc citreum
Lineage: Bacteria; Bacillati; Bacillota; Bacilli; Lactobacillales; Lactobacillaceae
Description: tRNA-Ala
Rfam family: tRNA
About the family: Transfer RNA (tRNA) molecules are approximately 80 nucleotides in length. Their secondary structure includes four short double-helical elements and three loops (D, anti-codon, and T loops).
Source: RNAcentral